Long non-coding RNA from Gymnodraco acuticeps, 825 nucleotides. RefSeq lists it as uncharacterized. The record is from RefSeq and is a predicted model, not a curated record. Lineage: Eukaryota; Metazoa; Chordata; Actinopteri; Perciformes; Bathydraconidae. The transcript is spliced from 4 exons.
UGUAAUUAAUUAAUCUUAAUUAACGCGUUAAAGUCCCGGCCCUAAUAUAAACACUAGAUGGCUCAUGGGAGAUUUUCCAGCGUAGCUCACCGGCCGCCAUCUUGCUACAGUCAACAGUUACUCUGGUACGCGCUAUGGUAGCUGUUGUAAGAAGUACCUGACUAUGCCUGACUUUUGUGCAGCCUACGGCUGCUCUAAUCGCCGCAGUCUGCAAACAAGAACCCGUGGAAUCACCUUUCACGUGUUUCCCAAAAGCGGAGAGAGGAGGAGGCAGUGGGAACUCGCCCUAAGAAGGGACGGUUUUGUUUCCUCUGGCAGGACGCUGCUCUGCAGUGAGUACUUCAGGAGUGAGGACUUUGACAGGACGGGGCAGACUGUCCGGCUUAAAGAUGGUGUUGUGCCAACAGUAUUCAAUUUCCCAGCUCAUCUUCAAAGGCCGGAAGCAACAAGAAGCACAACCAUUUAAAGAAGAGCGGAAGAUGAACCUCAGCCUAAUGUUGUGAGUAUUCUGAAUGUGGCCAAGACCAGAGAGAUGGUCAUUGAUUUCAGGAGGGUGAGGACGUCUCUUCUACCCCUGUGCAUUCUGGGAGAGGAUGUGGCUGUUGUGGAGGACUACAAAUACCUGGGAGUGCACUUAGACAACGGACUGAACUGGAGGAUCAACACUGAUGCUGUGCACAAGAAGGGGAUGAGCAGACUCUAUUUUCUGAGGAAGCUGAGAUACUUCCACGUGUGCAGUAAGAUGCUGGAGAUCUUCUACCGGUCUGUUGUGGCCAGUGCACUCUUCUUUGCUCCGGUCUGCUGGGGGGGGCAGCAUCAGAGCCG